RNAcentral lists this ribosomal RNA (542 nucleotides) under Trichoderma asperellum. RNAcentral describes it as "eukaryotic LSU rRNA". The stretch from base 157 to 310 matches the Rfam family "5.8S ribosomal RNA". The record is from RNAcentral. Lineage: Eukaryota; Fungi; Ascomycota; Sordariomycetes; Hypocreales; Hypocreaceae.
GUGAACGUUACAAACUGUUGCCUCGGCGGGGUCACGCCCCGGGUGCGUCGCAGCCCCGGAACCAGGCGCCCGCCGGAGGAACCAACCAAACUCUUUCUGUAGUCCCCUCGCGGACGUAUUUCUUACAGCUCUGAGCAAAAAUUCAAAAUGAAUCAAAACUUUCAACAACGGAUCUCUUGGUUCUGGCAUCGAUGAAGAACGCAGCGAAAUGCGAUAAGUAAUGUGAAUUGCAGAAUUCAGUGAAUCAUCGAAUCUUUGAACGCACAUUGCGCCCGCCAGUAUUCUGGCGGGCAUGCCUGUCCGAGCGUCAUUUCAACCCUCGAACCCCUCCGGGGGAUCGGCGUUGGGGAUCGGGACCCCUCACACGGGUGCCGGCCCCGAAAUACAGUGGCGGUCUCGCCGCAGCCUCUCCUGCGCAGUAGUUUGCACAACUCGCACCGGGAGCGCGGCGCGUCCACGUCCGUAAAACACCCAACUUUCUGAAAUGUUGACCUCGGAUCAGGUAGGAAUACCCGCUGAACUUAAGCAUAUCAAUAAGCGGA